AGCAGCAUUGUACAGGGCUAUGU
This 23-nucleotide non-coding RNA is filed under the name Xenopus tropicalis (tropical clawed frog). The record is from RNAcentral. RNAcentral also lists the same sequence under 3 other names. Lineage: Eukaryota; Metazoa; Chordata; Amphibia; Anura; Pipidae.